CGAACGGGAACAAAAUGAAACCUAGUGAUUUUUGUUUUAGUGGCGGACGGGUGAGUAACGCGUGGGUAACCUGCCGUAUACAGGGGGAUAACACUUAGAAAUAGGUGCUAAUACCGCAUAAGCGCACAGCUUCGCAUGGAGCAGUGUGAAAAGCGUAAACGGUAUACGAUGGACCCGCGUCUGAUUAGCUAGUUGGCGGGGUAGAGGCCCACCAAGGCGACGAUCAGUAGCCGGCCUGAGAGGGUGACCGGCCACAUUGGGACUGAGACACGGCCCAAACUCCUACGGGAGGCAGCAGUGGGGAAUAUUGCACAAUGGGGGGAACCCUGAUGCAGCGACGCCGCGUGAGUGAAGAAGUAUUUCGGUAUGUAAAGCUCUAUCAGCAGGGAAGAAAAUGACGGUACCUGACUAAGAAGCCCCGGCUAACUACGUGCCAGCAGCCGCGGUAAUACGUAGGGGGCAAGCGUUAUCCGGAUUUACUGGGUGUAAAGGGAGCGUAGACGGUUAUGCAAGUCUGAAGUGAAAGCCCAAGGCUCAACCAUGGGACUGCUUUGGAAACUGUAAAACUGGAGUGCAGGAAAGGUAAGCGGAAUUCCUAGUGUAGCGGUGAAAUGCG
Molecule: ribosomal RNA, 616 nt
Filed under: uncultured bacterium
Lineage: Bacteria
Description: bacterial SSU rRNA
Rfam family: Bacterial small subunit ribosomal RNA
Source: RNAcentral